This is a long non-coding RNA of Diachasmimorpha longicaudata, 1068 nucleotides long. RefSeq lists it as uncharacterized. The record is from RefSeq and is a predicted model, not a curated record. Lineage: Eukaryota; Metazoa; Arthropoda; Insecta; Hymenoptera; Braconidae. The transcript has 3 exons.
GAAAAUUGUUUUGUUGUGGACAGUUACAGAACAAUUACCACGGAAAACAUUUAAAAAAAUAUAUAUAUAUAUGUUUUAAAUGUGACCUUAACACGAGAGAAUGCGACGUUAAGUUUGCACCAAUAGCACAUGAAGAAUACUCUACUUGAGGGCUAAAAAUUUUUCAAUGUGAAUAUCAAAAGUGCUGAGUUGAAAAUGUCAAUUGUAUUCCCAGUUAUUCAUCUACUAAUUAAACAAAAAUAGUUGUUAAUAGUCCUCCGUAGCACAGCAUUAGUUUGUGCGAACGACAUCAUGAUUGUGAUAGCUAAGACAACUUGCUCUCUCGAAUAGGAUUUAGAGAAACAUUUUUAACAAAUGUUUGAUUAUUUUAUCGAACGAUUACUUACAUUGUCCUGCGGCUAUCGCAAUCAUCGAAAUGAUCAACAGCAGCCCAAUCGCACUCUUCAGUAGUUUCAUCCUUUUGUGGCCUAUGAAGGUUAACAGACAGGUUUCGCGUACCUUAGUCACGCUAGGAUAGACUUCGACAAAUGUUUACGAGCUCCAUGAAGUCACUUUGGAGAAGAUGGACACUGAAGUCAAUUCAGAACGGGAAUUUUAUCAUCGAGGAACAGGAAAGUCAAAGCCUCAGAUUGAACGGGAUCCUGGGGGGCUCAGAAGGAAUAUCGAUUCCUCCCUAGAGUUGAAGCUGCUGGAUCCCCAGGAGUUCACAGGAAGUGUCCAGGAGUAAAUAACACGAUAAUUCCGAAGUCCCCAUAUUGCCAAGAACCACCUCGACCAGAGAACCAUAACUUUUUCAGAAAUUCACUAUCAAUUGCAAUUUGACUUGUGUAUUGUUCACAGAGGUAAGUUAUGUUUGAUAAGUAAAUUUCUCUGGCGUGCACAGUGGCAGAGUAAUUAUCAUGGAAGACAAAUAUCAAAAAUUGUGAGUUGAAAAUUUUAAUUGUGUCAUCAGUCCUUCAUUUGUUAAUUAAAAAAAUUAUUAUGAAAGUUAGACAUUUUAAAUUACUUUAAUGUCCUUAUAAUAUAUGUAUAUAUAUAAUUUAAUAUAUAAUAUAUAAUUUAUUGUCC